This 201-nucleotide ribosomal RNA is filed under the name uncultured Lactobacillus sp. RNAcentral describes it as "partial 16S ribosomal RNA". It matches the Rfam family "Bacterial small subunit ribosomal RNA", at positions 163 to 356 of the family's 1533-position model. Lineage: Bacteria; Bacillati; Bacillota; Bacilli; Lactobacillales; Lactobacillaceae. The record is from RNAcentral.
CUAAUACCGGAUAAGAAAGACGGAUCGCAUGAUCAGCUUUUAAAAGGCGGCGUAAGCUGUCGCUAUGGGAUGGCCCCGCGGUGCAUUAGCUAGUUGGUAAGGUAAAGGCUUACCAAGGCGAUGAUGCAUAGCCGAGUUGAGAGACUGAUCGGCCACAUUGGGACUGAGACACGGCCCAAACUCCUACGGGAGGCAGCAGCG